Molecule: long non-coding RNA, 284 nt
Filed under: Mytilus galloprovincialis (Mediterranean mussel)
Lineage: Eukaryota; Metazoa; Mollusca; Bivalvia; Mytilida; Mytilidae
Source: RNAcentral
GCCGCAAGUCGUAAAAAUCAGUACAUAAGAUGACAUGCCUUUCUUUGAACUACCGCUUUUAAGACCAAGUUCAGCAUGUUGGUUCUUAUUUAUUUAGCAUAUUCUCUUCCUGAAUAUGCCUUUAAGUGUCCACUGGAGGCUAACCAAUCACCAGAACAACCACCCAUCGUACCGUCUUAGAGAAGGUUGAAGAUGUAGGCGUAAAAAGCAAAACUAAUUUCAUAUGUUUAAAAACAUGAGGACAAUUUAAAGAACACAACAAUACAACUGAACGAAAAUUCAAA